This 382-nucleotide ribosomal RNA is filed under the name uncultured eukaryote. Its description in RNAcentral is "partial 18S ribosomal RNA". It matches the Rfam family "Eukaryotic small subunit ribosomal RNA", at positions 592 to 976 of the family's 1831-position model. The record is from RNAcentral.
CAAUAGCGUAUAUUAAAGUUGUUGCAGUUAAAAAGCUCGUAGUUGGAUUUCUGGUUGGAGCGACCGGUCGGGCAUUGAUUUGUCUGCACUGGAGUCGGUUCUGGCCAUCCUCUUGGAAAGUGCGUCUGUCAUUAAGUUAUCGGGCGUAUGAUCCAGGUCUUUUACUGUGAAAAAAUUAGAGUGUUUAAAGCAGGCCUUCGCCUUGAAUACAUUAGCAUGGAAUAAUAAGAUAGGACUUUGGUCUAUUUUGUUGGUUUGCAGACCGAAGUAAUGAUUAAUAGGGAUAGUUGGGGGUAUUUAUAUUCCAAUGUCAGAGGUGAAAUUCUUAGAUUUUUGGAAGAUAAACUUAUGCGAAAGCAUUUACCAAGGAUGUUUUCAUUAA